Spinacia oleracea (spinach) is the source of this 1058-nucleotide long non-coding RNA. RefSeq lists it as uncharacterized. The record is from RefSeq and is a predicted model, not a curated record. The transcript has 3 exons. NCBI's taxonomy places the organism in Eukaryota, Viridiplantae, Streptophyta, Magnoliopsida, Caryophyllales, Amaranthaceae.
UCUCUCUCUGCAACUCUGCCCCUCUCCUCUCUCUCUCCUCCAAAUCGCCUUUCCCUCUCAUCGAAAUUGAUGCCGGAGAUGACGAAGCAGGCGACGGAGAUCACGAAGACGACGACAGAGGUGUGAGGGAGCACAGGCGGCGAUGGUUGGGGCUUCCUCCGAAGUUGUGGUCGUCUCUACGAGAAACAGAAGCAGCAACAACGGUGGUGGCGCCUAAGGGGGAGGAAAAGAGGAGAGAGAAAGAAUGGAUUACGAGGUUGAGUCUCAAACCCUAAUUUAAUGGCUGCUACACCGAUUCUUGCCGCCGAUCUCUCUUCCGACGAUCUCUCUCGGUUGACUUUAUAAUCGCCUAUAGUUGCGGGCUGCUGCGGUGGAUUGAGUUGGUAUUUUGGACUCGACUUUUGGUCCCGCGCUUGGUGGUGCCGAAGGUGAGAUUUGAUUUGGUUUGGAGCCGGCUGUGGUCUCGCGUCUCAAGGCUUGCAAGGAAGAUGUGGUGCAGGGCCUUGGUGCAAUUGGUACAAUCGGUACUACCUGCCGAUGUUGUUGUUGUUGUUGUUCGCGGAGGAGCAAUGGUGCGGUAAUCCUUGUUGUACGUUCUUCUAGUCUGGCUGGAGGUCGCCCCUGAUUUUCGUCGCCGGAGCUGCUUCUGCUGUUGAUGUUGAGAGUUAAGCUAAAGGUUGGGGUCCAACCUUUUGGUUUUUUCACCCUUUAGGACCUCAACCUUUUUUCUUCACCUUUUGGGGACUCAUGUUCAUUUUUCGGCCAGUUAACCAUAGUUUAACUCACCGUUUACCAUACUAUCACUCAAACAAUAUAUUAAGACAAAGGUUAGGGUCCAACUUUUUGAUUUUUUCACCGUUUAGGACCUGAAUAUUUUUUUCACCUUUUGGGACCUCAUAUCCAUAUUUUGUACACCAACUUAUUUACUAUAAAAAAAAAAUCAGGAAAUGCAAAAAAAAAAAUUAUCGCUCAAAUUAAUAAUUAUAAUAAUAGUUAUUAAUAUUUUUAUUUUUAUUAAUUAUUAUGUAAUAAUUGUUAUUAAUAUAUUUAACAAUAAU